RNAcentral lists this ribosomal RNA (463 nucleotides) under uncultured bacterium. RNAcentral's name for it is "bacterial SSU rRNA". It matches the Rfam family "Bacterial small subunit ribosomal RNA", at positions 329 to 792 of the family's 1533-position model. The record is from RNAcentral.
UGCCAGACUCCUACGGGAGGCAGCAGUGGGGAAUAUUGCACAAUGGGGGAAACCCUGAUGCAGCGACGCCGCGUGAGUGAAGAAGUAUUUCGGUACGUAAAGCUCUAUCAGCAGGGAAGAAAAAAAGUCCUUUAGACUUUGGACGGUACCUGACCAAGAAGCCCCGGCUAACUACGUGCCAGCAGCCGCGGUAAUACGUAGGGGGCAAGCGUUAUCCGGAUUUACUGGGUGUAAAGGGAGCGUAGACGGCGACGCAAGUCUGAAGUGAAAUGCCAGUGCUCAACACUGGAACUGCUUUGGAAACUGUGUAGCUAGAGUGCAGGAGAGGUAAGUGGAAUUCCUAGUGUAGCGGUGAAAUGCGUAGAUAUUAGGAGGAACACCAGUGGCGAAGGCGGCUUACUGGACUGUAACUGACGUUGAGGCUCGAAGGCGUGGGGAGCAAACAGGAUUAGAUACCCGAGUA